GACGAACGCUGGCGGCGUGCUUAACACAUGCAAGUCGAACGGAAAGGCCCUGCUUUUGUGGGGUGCUCGAGUGGCGAACGGGUGAGUAACACGUGAGUAACCUGCCCUUGACUUUGGGAUAACUUCAGGAAACUGGGGCUAAUACCGGAUAGGAGCUCCUGCUGCAUGGUGGGGGUUGGAAAGUUUCGGCGGUUGGGGAUGGACUCGCGGCUUAUCAGCUUGUUGGUGGGGUAGUGGCUUACCAAGGCUUUGACGGGUAGCCGGCCUGAGAGGGUGACCGGCCACAGUGGGACUGAGAUACGGCCCAGACUCCUACGGGAGGCAGCAGUGGGGAAUAUUGCAAAAUGGGCGGAUGCCUGAUGCAGCAACGCCGCGUGCGGGAUGACGGCCUUCGGGUUGUAAACCGCUUUCGCCUGUGACGAAGCGUGAGUGACGGUAAUGGGUAAAGAAGCACAGGCUAACUACGUG
Molecule: ribosomal RNA, 468 nt
Filed under: uncultured bacterium
Lineage: Bacteria
Description: partial 16S ribosomal RNA
Rfam family: Bacterial small subunit ribosomal RNA
Source: RNAcentral